Molecule: ribosomal RNA, 448 nt
Filed under: uncultured bacterium
Lineage: Bacteria
Description: partial 16S ribosomal RNA
Rfam family: Bacterial small subunit ribosomal RNA
Source: RNAcentral
GGCCAGACUCCUACGGGAGGCAGCAGUGGGGAAUAUUGCACAAUGGGGGAAACCCUGAUGCAGCAACGCCGCGUGAGUGAAGAAGUAUUUCGGUAUGUAAAGCUCUAUCGGCAGGGAAGAAGAAAGACGGUACCUGACUAAGAAGCCCCGGCUAACUACGUGCCAGCAGCCGCGGUAAUACGUAGGGGGCAAGCGUUAUCCGGAUUUACUGGGUGUAAAGGGAGCGUAGACGGCGAUGCAAGUCUGAAGUGAAAGGCGGGGGCCCAACCCCCGGACUGCUUUGGAAACUGUAUAGCUGGAGUGCAGGAGAGGUAAGUGGAAUUCCUAGUGUAGCGGUGAAAUGCGUAGAUAUUAGGAGGAACACCAGUGGCGAAGGCGGCUUACUGGACUGUAACUGACGUUGAGGCUCGAAAGCGUGGGGAGCAAACAGGAUUAGAUACCCCGGUAC